UGGGCUUGACAUCCCACGAACCUGUCUGAAAGGAUGGAGUGCCUUCAAGGGAGCGUUGAGACAGGUGGUGCAUGGUUGUCGUCAGCUCGUGUCGUGAGAUGUUGGGUUAAGUCCCGCAACGAGCGCAACCCUCACCCUUUGUUGCCAUCAGGUUAUGCUGGGCACUCUAAGGGAACUGCCUCGGUUAACGAGGAGGAAGGUGGGGAUGACGUCAAGUCAUCAUGCCCCUUACGCUCUGGGCUACACACGUGCUACAAUGGCCAAUACAAAGGGCUGCAAACCCGCGAGGGCAAGCCAAUCCCAAAAAAUUGGUCUCAGUUCAGAUUGUAGGCUGCAACCCGCCUGCAUGAAGGAGGAAUCGCUAGUAAUCGUGGAUCAGCAUGCCACGGUGAAUACGUUCCCGGGCCUUGUACACACCGCCCGUCACACCACGAAAGUCUGCUGUACUCGAAGUCGCUGAGA
This 462-nucleotide ribosomal RNA is filed under the name uncultured bacterium. RNAcentral describes it as "bacterial SSU rRNA". It matches the Rfam family "Bacterial small subunit ribosomal RNA", at positions 976 to 1435 of the family's 1533-position model. The record is from RNAcentral.